Molecule: unclassified non-coding RNA, 491 nt
Filed under: Bartonella sp.
Lineage: Bacteria; Pseudomonadati; Pseudomonadota; Alphaproteobacteria; Hyphomicrobiales; Bartonellaceae
Description: partial 16S-23S ribosomal RNA intergenic spacer
Rfam family: tRNA (bases 161-234)
Source: RNAcentral
UCUUUAAGAAUUUUUUUAUAAAUUCAGGAAUGUUUUUAAAAAAGAUAUAAGAGAGUGUUUCUCCUUUGAGGAUGUGCUUUUGUGCGAGAGAAUGUAAUUCUCUGUGAGAGUGUAGCUAUCUUGAAAAGGUGCCGGGGAAGGUUUUCCGGUUUGUCCCGGAGGGCUUGUAGCUCAGUUGGUUAGAGCGCGCGCUUGAUAAGCGUGAGGUCGGAGGUUCAAGUCCUCCCAGGCCCACCAAUUUUGAUUUGUUUAACCUGCUGUUGGUAGUUCUCUCCUGUAUGAGAAAAAGAUUUAAGGAGUGGAAACAAAUUUUGGAAGCUCAGAAUAAUUGGCAGGAUUAAAGAGUUUUUGUGAAAUGCUCAUAGUAUAUGUUAUGAACAUGUUAACGAAAUCAUGGAGCUAUCAAGAAGCUUUAUAAGUGUUGAUUUGAGAGUUAGCGCUUUCUUUUAGGGGCCGUAGCUCAGCUGGGAGAGCACCUGCUUUGCAAGCAG